This 433-nucleotide ribosomal RNA is filed under the name uncultured bacterium. RNAcentral's name for it is "partial 16S ribosomal RNA". It matches the Rfam family "Bacterial small subunit ribosomal RNA", at positions 29 to 507 of the family's 1533-position model. The record is from RNAcentral.
AACGAACGCUGGCGGCAUGCCUAACACAUGCAAGUCGAACGAAGGCUUCGGCCGUAGUGGCGCACGGGUGCGUAACGCGUGGGAAUCUGCCCUUUGGUUCGGAAUAACAGCUGGAAACGGCUGCUAAUACCGGAUGAUGGCGAAAGCCCAAAGAUUUAUCGCCAGAGGAUGAGCCCGCGUUGGAUUAGGUAGUUGGUGGGGUAAAGGCCUACCAAGCCGACGAUCCAUAGCUGGUCUGAGAGGAUGAUCAGCCACACUGGGACUGAGACACGGCCCAGACUCCUACGGGAGGCAGCAGUGGGGAAUAUUGGACAAUGGGCGCAAGCCUGAUCCAGCAAUGCCGCGUGAGUGAUGAAGGCCCUAGGGUUGUAAAGCUCUUUUACCCGGGAAGAUAAUGACUGUACCGGGAGAAUAAGCCCCGGCUAACUCCGUG